UACGAAGGGUGCAAGCGUUAAUCGGAAUUACUGGGCGUAAAGCGCACGUAGGCGGUUUUUUAAGUCAGAUGUGAAAGCCCCGGGCUCAACCUGGGAACUGCAUUUGUGACUGCAAGGCUAGAGUACGGCAGAGGGGGAUGGAAUUCCGCGUGUAGCAGUGAAAUGCGUAGAUAUGCGGAGGAACACCAAUGGCGAAGGCAAUCCCCUGGGCCUGUACUGACGCUCAUGCACGAAAGCGUGGGGAGCAAACAGG
RNAcentral lists this ribosomal RNA (253 nucleotides) under uncultured bacterium. RNAcentral's name for it is "partial 16S ribosomal RNA". It matches the Rfam family "Bacterial small subunit ribosomal RNA", at positions 524 to 776 of the family's 1533-position model. The record is from RNAcentral.